This 253-nucleotide ribosomal RNA is filed under the name uncultured bacterium. RNAcentral describes it as "partial 16S ribosomal RNA". It matches the Rfam family "Bacterial small subunit ribosomal RNA", at positions 524 to 776 of the family's 1533-position model. The record is from RNAcentral.
UACAGAGGCCACAAGCGUUAGACGGAAUCACUGGGCUUAAAGCGUGUGUAGGCGGGAUGGUAAGUACCUUGUGAAAUCCCACAGCUUAACUGUGGAAAUGCUUGGUAUACUGCCGUUCUUGAGUCACCUAGGGGCAGCUGGAACAGAUGGUGGAGCGGUGAAAUGCAUAGAUAUCGGAAGGAACACCAGUGGCGAAGGCGGGUCUCUGGUCUGUAACUGACGCUGAGGUGCGAAAGCGUGGGGAGCAAACAGG